Molecule: long non-coding RNA, 567 nt
Organism: Bombyx mori (domestic silkworm)
Lineage: Eukaryota; Metazoa; Arthropoda; Insecta; Lepidoptera; Bombycidae
Exons: 2
Source: RefSeq, a predicted model, not a curated record
GUUAAUAAAUGUAAGCCAAAACAAUAACUUUUCUGACUGAGUCUGUUUAUAAUUAGGUAAAUUCCGAUUUCUCAAUAAAACUGGAUUAACGAUGUUUACAAUAUUGCGGAGGUUACCUACGUGUUGGAAAAUUGUAAAAUAAUUCAUGUUACAAAUAGUCUCGAAAGAUACUUAAGUUUUUGUAUAUUUACUUUGUCGAAGGAUAUCGCAAUGUGAAUGCUGACUGCCACCGUCCCAUCUUGAGGCGUGAGGCCGAAAUCUCAGUUGAAUUAUAGAACGGCUGUCUCAGCACUUAAGCCGAAACGCACAACUACUUCCGCCCAGAAAUAUGCAGGAUGGUACCAGCCUUUUACCAGCCCGUGGUUACUUGCAGUACGACUUACCACCGCGCGAGUGCUGCGGGGGCGGCCGAUGGGUAUUUCUGAGUGUGACGUCAUAGCGCCGCAAGCCCCGGCCUCCGCGCAAAUCGCGUAUGGCUCCUAAGCCCGCGUGCUUACGCGCUGAAGCGGGUUUCAACAAUCUGAGAAAUGGCUAAUUUUAACAUUUAUAAAAAUAUUGUUUAUUCAA